This 438-nucleotide ribosomal RNA is filed under the name uncultured bacterium. RNAcentral describes it as "bacterial SSU rRNA". It matches the Rfam family "Bacterial small subunit ribosomal RNA", at positions 360 to 793 of the family's 1533-position model. The record is from RNAcentral.
AAUAUUGCACAAUGGGCGCAAGCCUGAUGCAGCCAUGCCGCGUGUAUGAAGAAGGCCUUCGGGUGUAAAGUACUUUCAGCAGUGAGGAAGGUGGAUAUGUUAAUAGCAUAUUCAUUUGACGUUAGCUGCAGAAGAAGCACCGGCUAACUCCGUGCCAGCAGCCGCGGUAAUACGGAGGGUGCGAGCGUUAAUCGGAAUUACUGGGCGUAAAGCGCAUGCAGGUGGUUGUUAAGUCAGAUGUGAAAGCCCGGGGCUCAACCUCGGAAUUGCAUUUGAAACUGGCAAACUAGAGUACUGUAGAGGGGGUAGAAUUUCAGGUGUAGCGGUGAAAUGCGUAGAGAUCUGAAGGAAUACCGGUAGCGAAGGCGGCCCCCUGGACAGAUACUGACACUCAGAUGCGAAAGCGUGGGGAGCAAACAGGAUUAGAUACCCUGGUAG